GACGAACGCUGGCGGCGUGCUUAACACAUGCAAGUCGAACGGAGUGGCGAACGGGUGAGUAACACGUGGGUGAUCGGCCUUGCACUUCGGGAUAAGCUUGGGAAACUGGGUCUAAUACCGGAUAGUGCAAGCUUAGCUCGCGGCCUAUCCGCUUGUUGGUGGGGUAAUGGCCUACCAAGGCGUCGACGGGUAGCUGGCCUGAGAGGGUGCACGGCCACCUUGGGACUGAGAUACAGCCCCGACUCCGACGGGAGGCAGCAGUGAGGAAUAUUGCACCACGGGCGGAAGCCUGAUGCAGCGACGCCGCGUGGGGGAUGAAGGCCUUCGGGUUGUAAACUCCUUUCGACAGGGACGCGGUACCUGUAUAAGAAGCACCGGCUAACUACGUGCCAGCCGCCGCGGUAAUAC
Molecule: ribosomal RNA, 408 nt
Filed under: uncultured bacterium
Lineage: Bacteria
Description: partial 16S ribosomal RNA
Rfam family: Bacterial small subunit ribosomal RNA
Source: RNAcentral